Molecule: long non-coding RNA, 517 nt
Filed under: Homo sapiens (human)
Lineage: Eukaryota; Metazoa; Chordata; Mammalia; Primates; Hominidae
Description: HSALNT0017031
Source: RNAcentral
GAGGAGCAGCGAGUCAAGAUGAGAGUUCAGCCGCGGCGGCAGCAGCAGCAGAGUGUUGCUCUGUCGCCCAGGCAGGAGUGCAGUGGCGUGAUCUCGGCUCACUUCAGCUUCCACCUCCAGGGUUCAAGCGAUUCUCCUGCUUCAGCCUCCCGAGUAGCUGGGAUUACAAGUGCGUGCCACCGCACCCGGCUAAUUUUUUUGUAUUCUUAGUACAGAUGGGGUUUCACUGUGUUGGCCAGGCUGGUCUCUAACUCCUGACCUGAAGUGAUCUGCCCGCCUUGGUCUCCCAAAGUGCCGGGAUUACAGGUGUGAGCCACCAUGCCCAGCCCAUAUAUUCUUAAUUUCUUGAGUAAGCCCUUGAUUUCUCAUGUGACCUUUUUUCUGAUCCCUUAAAUUAAAAAAUUUUUUUGAGAUGCAUUAAUGUAAAUUUUAUCCAUUUAUUUAUUUGUUUCAUUUUGUCUCUCAAGUUGGUUUAUAGAGAUUUAUCAACUGUAUGGCAAGAAAUGCAAAAUAAAAA